Populus nigra (black poplar) is the source of this 1959-nucleotide RNA transcript. It is a transcript of the gene named ATP-dependent 6-phosphofructokinase 4, chloroplastic-like, with no coding region annotated. The transcript is spliced from 14 exons. The record is from RefSeq and is a predicted model, not a curated record. NCBI's taxonomy places the organism in Eukaryota, Viridiplantae, Streptophyta, Magnoliopsida, Malpighiales, Salicaceae.
AGUUCACAGAUCAGAGUUGUACACGACUCCAGAAUCCUCGAUUGAACCGUCAGCAAAUCAAAGCCACCGAGAAGUCAGAGAAAUGUUUAAAAUAUCAACGUGGCACGUAAUUAAAGAUCCAGCUAAGUUGUCCGCACCUAAUCAUUCCUCCAUUACCGAAUCAAACGAUCUCUCUCCCACACAGUUUCAGGUUCUCCGUUUCGACGAUGGAUCUCUCACUCGCUGCUUCUCCCUCUUCGUUUGACUUACUAUUAUUGAACCACAAAUUCUCAUUAUUUCAAUUUAACCCCGACUUCUCUCUCAAAUCCAAAAAACCCCCUACAAAAUCAUUAUUUUGGCGCCAAAAUCACCCAUUCAGAGUCAGAGCUCUUAACGAUGAUGGUUUCGUCCUCGAAGACGUGCCUCACUUGACUGAUUUCCUCCCUCAUCUACCAUCGUAUCCAAAUCCUUUGCAUCACAGCCAAGCCUACGCGAUUGUCAAGCAGACUUUUGUUGGACCAGAAGAUGCAGUCGCACAAAAUAUUGUUGUUCAUAAAGAUAGUCCUAGAGGUGUACAUUUCCGGCGAGCCGGGCCCAGAGAGAAGGUGUAUUUUAUGCCUGAUGAAGUGCGUGCUUGCAUAGUGACAUGUGGGGGUUUAUGUCCCGGGAUCAAUACAGUGAUUCGCGAGAUUGUAUGCGGAUUGAAUUAUAUGUAUGGAGUUGAUGAUGUACUUGGCAUUAUGGGAGGUUAUAGGGGCUUCUAUUCAAAAAACACCAUAAAUUUGACGCCCAAAGUUGUGAAUGAUAUACAUAAGCGUGGUGGCACAUUUCUUUGCACUUCACGAGGAGGUCAUGACACAAACAAGAUAGUUGAUAAUAUUCAGGACAGGAGAAUAAAUCAGGUAUAUAUUAUUGGAGGUGAUGGCACUCAGAGAGGAGCAGCUUUAAUUUACAAGGAAGUUGAGAAACGUGGUCUUCAAGUGGCCGUUGCUGGGAUCCCCAAGACGAUUGAUAAUGAUAUAGUGGUGAUAGACAAAUCUUUUGGAUUUGAUACCGCUGUUGAAGAAGCUCAGAGAGCAAUUAAUGCUGCACAUGUGGAGGUUGAAAGUGUGGAAAAUGGAGUUGGGAUUGUUAAACUGAUGGGCAGAUACAGUGGUUUCAUUGCGAUGUUUGCAACUUUGGCAAGUCGAGAUGUGGAUUGUUGCUUGAUUCCAGAAUCGCCAUUCUAUCUGGAAGGUCCUGGUGGUCUUUUUGAAUUUAUUGAACAGAGGAUCAAAGAAAAUGGGCAUAUGGUUAUUGUGAUAGCAGAAGGAGCCGGGCAGGAAUAUGUUGCUCAGGCCAUGCAGGCAGCUGAUGAGAGAGAUGCAUCAGGGAACAGACUACUUCUUGAUGUUGGUCUAUGGUUAACUCAAAAGGUUAAGGAUCAUUUUACAAAGGUGAAGAAGAUGGAGAUAAAUAUGAAAUAUAUAGGUUCACAUAGAACAUCCUUGUCAUUGAGAGGUUGUUGCUCAUUCUAACCUUCAAUCACGAUAAUCGAUUUCUGUCUCUGGGGUUGUGGUUGUUUGUCUUGAUCUGAUAAGGUUCUACGACCUCCAUCAAGUUCAUCUUCACUAACAACCAUCACAUAGACAAGUGGUUGUCUAGGUGGAGUUUCAGGAAUAGGUCUAAGGUAAGGUGGGUCUCGAGGUAAGUCUCCAAACAUGUUCCUCUACUCUUUGUGAUUCUUUUUUAUGCCUUCCAUCAACCAAAAUAGAUCUUCUUCAUUAGAUGAAUACCCGUAGUCAUAGUGACCACAAGGAUUUGUACGAGCUAGUUCGAUGACAAGUUGGCCGUGGGCUUCAUCUCCGAUCCUACAUACAUGAUUAGAGCUAUCCCAAGUAAUGCAUCAGACAACAUUUAUUGCAGUCUUCUUGCACAAAGUGCUGUUCAUGGGGCCAUGGCUGGGUACACAGGAUUCACAGUUGGUCCAGUAAACAGCAG